GAUGAACGCUGACAGAAUGCUUAACACAUGCAAGUCUUUGGCGAAGCUGUGCUUGCACAGCCUAGCCAAGGCGGACGGGUGAGUAACGCGUAAGGAACUUGCCCUGCAGUCAGGGAUAACAGACGGAAACGACUGAUAAGACCUGGUAAAGUCAGGCGGACUCACGUCCAGCCUGAUGAAAAGAGAUGCUGCAGGAGAGCCUUGCGUCCUAUUAGCUUGUUGGUGGGGUAACGGCCCACCAAGGCGAUGAUAGGUAGCCGGCCUGAGAGGGUGGACGGCCACAAGGGGACUGAGGUACGGCCCUUACUCCUACGGGAGGCAGCAGUGGGGAAUAUUGGACAAUGGGGGCAACCCUGAUCCAGCAAUUCUGUGUGCACGAUGAAGGUUUUCGGAUUGUAAAGUGCUUUCAGCAGGGAAGAAAAAAAUGACGGUACCUGCAGAAGAAGCGACGGCUAAAUACGUG
This 463-nucleotide ribosomal RNA is filed under the name uncultured bacterium. RNAcentral's name for it is "partial 16S ribosomal RNA". It matches the Rfam family "Bacterial small subunit ribosomal RNA", at positions 28 to 507 of the family's 1533-position model. The record is from RNAcentral.